UUCUUCAAGAUAACACCUGGAAACCCCUAAGACACCACCCUUCCACCUCCAGCCGCCACACUCCCCUCCCCUCCCCAUUCGUUCUUUGUCAAACCUAACCAAACAGUCCCUCAUUAUCGACAGAUCAAACCAGACUCCUCACCGGUGACCACUCUCAAAGUACCAAACCUCCAGCGUCAACCCCACCAGAUUCCCGCCGAAUCACUGCCAUCUUCGACCAGCUGAUGCGUUGACCAGCCUCCAGCGAUGUCCCAAAUGACCACCGUCUCCUCCUCCUUACUCUAUCCCUCAUCCAUCUCCACCCAGCAUCGUUCAUAGUGGUUCUGUGGUGAGGAGUCGGCCAUCUGCAUCGUUCUUCAUCUUCCAAAACAAGAAAGCUCAACCCAGCUUCGUCAACUCACCCAUCAUGACCACUUCCAUCUUUGAGCUAGCCCACAACCUUUUCCCCACUGUCACACCAUGCCCAACACCGGACAACCCGCUUCAUCUUCAGAUUUUCGUUCCAAAAUGGAGAUGGUUUGAGUUUUGGAAUCGAAUCAAGUUUCGAGGUCGUUGUUGAGAUUCCGGCAGUUCGUUUGGUUUCUUGUUCAUGGUUGUCGUUGGCUUGAUGAGUUGAGAAUUGGAGAGAUUGUAAAAGUCGACCCUCUUUCAAAUUAUAUGUAAGUGUUCGAAUUCGUAGUCUGUUUGUUUUGGUUUGAUUUGUUUUACAUGUUUUAUUAGCUAUUUCAUUAUUACUUCUUCUUCGGUUUUGUUUAGCUAGUUCUCUCAUGAAGAUUGCAUUCUCUUUGUUAAUCGUUAUGUCUCAUUAACUUUCUUUAUUUUUAUGUUAAAUUUGUUUGUUGCUUACUUGUUUGAUGGACGAGAAGAUUGAUAGAAAUGUUAUUCUUGGACACUUAUGAAUGCAUAUUGCAGUAUAUUUGUUGAUUAAGAUAAAUAUGUCAGAUUUGUUAUUAGUUUUAAUCUAGAAGUGUGUUAGUUCAAUAUAUGUUGCACUUAAUCUUUUGUUCUGAGGAUAUUUGAUCUUAUCUGAAUUAACUUAAGUUUGUUGAUUGAUUUUGAUUAGGGAAAUUGGUAUAGCUGAUACAUUCUUGGUACAGAUUGAAAGGGAUUUGAGUAGAAUAGUAAUUUCACUAAUAUCAGGAGGGCAAUUUGGGUGUUGGAAAGUUUACUUAGUGGCCAUUAAAAUAAUGAAUUCUUUAAUAAAAGUGGAGAAGAAGACAUAAUGGGGAGGUUUAAAAGGACUGGUUAAAUAAAGAAAAGUCAAGGGUUAGUAGGGAACAAGACAUAAAGAUGUAAAUAAAGGAAAAAAGGGGUUUGAAAAGUAAAAUAAGGAGUGCAUAAUGAUAAAAGGUAUUCUUUUUAAAACAAUAAAAGAAAAAAAGGGCUGACAAGGAAAAGGAGUUUGGGGUUAAAUAUAGAGAAGAGUAGAGACAUGGGGGGAACACAUUUAGACUUGGACAAAAGGAGGGACUGGUCUUUGAGUAAAAAAAAGUCGGUAAUUUAAGAGAAAAACUGAAAUAGGGAGGUCUUCACUCUGUUUCUGCCUGUGAUUGUUGUUGGUAUUUCUGGGGUUUUAUUUGGUGUUUUUCUUGAGUUUGGUUGGUUAUUUGGUUACUGUUCCACUGGUUGUUGCUAGAAUUUGUCCUGCUGGUUUCCAAAUCUAUUACUGGGUUAUUGCAUUACUGCUUUGUUGGUUGUUGUUGUGCUGUAUUGUUACUACUGCUACUGAUUCUCAUCGUCCUCUUCUCUUGUUUCCAAUACCAGGUACGCAACUGUAACUCUGGCUAUUGUAAGCUAAAAAAAUGUAGAAGCAUGAAUAUAUAUGAAAAAUGGAAGUUUGAAGUUUUGAUUUAGCCUUUUCUUCUUUACAUGAUUGCAUUUUAGAACAUUUCUUAUACUACUGUUAUGUAGAUUUCUGCCAGCUUUGUAUAGUUGGACUGUAUUCAGUUUGAUUUGGAUUAAUUGAAGUUAUAAUUAUAAUGAACUACUAGGAUGUAGUUACCAGCUGUAGUUAGUGUUUGUUUGUAUUUAAGGCAGACUUUAGGACUGUGUAUCCUAAUGGAUUAGUGUUAGUCAUUCUUCCUGGUGCAAUGUAGCUUUAAUCAUUUAGCUAACUCUACCAAGAAGCUAAUUCCAUUAGGCAGUAUAUAGGCCAGUAUUUGAAUCCAGUUUGAUAACAUCUUCUAGUAGUUAAUUGUGGUAGUCCCACUCAUCUAAAACUAUUAGUUUAAACCAAUUAGAGAAUGGUUAAUUUGUUCUAAUAUUUUGUCAAACUCGCAUGCUAUUUAUAAUUUCAGUAGUAGUAAUAUUCACUAGUAGAAUAAGGCACAAAACAAUCUCCCUUAUGCAAGCUCGAGUGCAAUUUCUAUUCAAACAUUGACUUAACUCUACCCAGAAGCUAAUUCCUUUAGGCGGUAUAUAGGCCAGUAUUUGAUCCAGUUUGAUAACAUCUUCUUAGUUUAAACCAAUUAGAGAAUGGUUAGUUUGUUCUAAUAUUAUGUCAAACUCGCAUGCUAUUUAUAAUUCCAGUUGUAGUAAUAUUCUCUUGUAGAAUAAGGUACAAAACAAUCUCCCUUAUGCAAGCUCGAGUGCAAUUUUCGUUCACAUCAAUCUAAUAACUAAUAAGAGGCCCGAUCUUAUAAAUAUGUAAUUAAUUAGGACAUUUUCUCUUUUAUUUUAGAGACGAACUUAAUAGAAAAAAUGUAGUCACUUUAGGAUUGUUCUUUUUAAAAUAAAAUGAGAUGAGCCUCGCCCAAUAAAAAUGUAAUAAUUUGUGGUGCUUUUAUAAAUGUAUAUAUUAAAACACUUGUAUUUUGGGACGGGCAGUUUAGCGAAUUUCACGGCCUUCCCCAAAUAAUAACACGUUAGUCUCUUUAGGCGCAUACUUUAAUAACAUUACCUCCCUAAACUCGGGUGUACAUUUAUGUGGCCCAAAUCCAACUCUCAACGGAGUCGAGAUGUGUCAACAACCACGGGUACAUUAAUAUGACGUGGUUCGAGACGCGUUGUCACGACGUUGAAAUUCUCUUUAAAAUAAUGAUAAUAAUAAAAGCGGUAAAGGUUAAAAUUUUCACAUAGGUUUAACAUGAACUAAAAUUAGAUAAAUAACCGAAUAUGACAGUUGAGGGACCGUGCUAGAACCACAGAACUCGAGAAUGCCUAACACCUUCUCCCGGGUUAACAGAAUUCCAUAUCCGGAUUUCUGGUUCGCGGACUGUAAUACAGAGUCAAUAUUUUCCUCGAUUCGGGAUUCAACCGGUGACUUGGGAAACCAUAAAUCUCCCAAGUGGUGACUCUGAGUCUUAAUUAUAAAUCCCCUUUCGAUUGUCCUUUAAUUGGAAAAACUCCCUCUGCACCACCGCGGGCGCGGGUAAAAAGGAGGUGUGACAGCUACCACGACAAAAAUGAGAACAUUGCACCAGGAAGCAAUAUCUUCAAAAUGUUGCAAGCCCAACAUGAAGCAAUAUCCUAGAUACCAAAUUAGAACCAAACACCGAACAAGCUCGAACUAGAGCCAUCAAAAGACGUCGAACAUAGGGUCGAAUUGUCUUCGAGGGAAUCGAAUGAAAACUAAUCGGAGAUCAAUCAUGCUAUCAUAAAUAUGCUCGAAGAAUUUACAAAGCGAAUCGAGAUAGGAGAAAAGAAGAUCGAGGAAAAUGAUAGGAAGGUUGAAACCUAUAACUCUAGGGUCAACAAAACGCCCGUGGCACCACCGAAGUUUAGUAGCUUCACAGCAGUUGAAGUAGAAUUUGAUCGAAUACCCAACUGUCACAUAGGCCGAUGCGCACAAUCGGUAUCAGAUGAAUAUCAGGGUCAAGAACGAUCAACUGGGGCUCUUUAUGGGCCUGUUUAUCCUAUCAGGCCCGUAGAUAGAAUCAAGAGAGAUAUUGACCGAGAAUCAAAGUCAAAAAGAGAUCGAUAUCAACCAUAUAAUGGGGACCGUAGAGGCAGUAGAUCUGCGCGAAAUUCUGCACGGAAUAAGAGGAGAAAUAAUCGAGGUCAAAGUUCACGGGGACUUGGUACUGAGGAAGGUCACAUAAACAUCUGGAAUCCAAAUGAAGGAAUGACCCCAUUUCAAUUGUUUCUAUUUUUCGACUAACACUUGUAGGUUAUCGACAAGGAGCGGCAUAAAGCUUUAGGUUUUCUACUAUCCCAAUUAGGUUUUUCGACAAGGUUUUUAAGGAGACAACAAUGGAUCAUGGUAACUUAGAAUUGAAGGCCGACCACGGAUUGGUGUUAAGACAUCAUUUAAUAGUAUCCGAAGUUCCCUACAAUCAACCUCGAACAUUGGGGGGCAUUGCCUCUGGAUGUCCACUUUAUUGCGAGGAAAUUACUUCAUAAUGAUGGGGUCUCGAUAGGGCCAUACGAACAAGAGAACCAUGCCCCCAUAGAUUGUUCGAUCCAUGGCUCACAACAUGUACGCAUGUAUAAUAAUUUUCCACAAGAAUAAAGAGAGGUAUUUUCUCAUUGUAAUUAUCCCAUGCCUUAGAAAAUGUUUUUCUAGUUUACAAUUGCAUACUUUCAAUCAAUUAUUGAAACGAGCUUAAGGGCGAUCAUAACCAGAGUUCGUAUAUUCACCCCUACACUCGGGGAUUGUCGUCCGAUAAAUAAAACUUGAACAUAUCGAACUAUUGAGCGUCGAAGGCAUAAGACCUUUUAGGCAACCCUUGAAUUUUAAAAGUCACAACCAUACCCACUCAAGGACUGUUAUCUUAGGAAAACCUGGAUAACCCGGGGAAGAAAUCUCACUGGGAUACACCCAAACCAAAAGGCUAUGGCCAAUUUAACACGGCUCAGAGAUGUCCGAACUCAUAACAAAAUGGGCUCGAAAAGGAAAAAAAUAAAGCAAAAUUAUAUAUGGCUAAGGGCUACUUUUACUUCGAGUUCGAGAUAUCAUUCUCACUCGACCACAAAGCCCAAGGACUACCUUAUCCCGAGUUCGAGCAAGUCCUCACUCGAAUACAAAGCCCAAGGGCUACCUUAACCCAAGUUCGAGCAAGUCCUCACUCGAAUACGAAGCCCAAUGGCUACCUUAACCCGAGUUCGAGCAAGUUCUCACUCAUGGAAUAUCAAUUGAGCUCAAGGGCUGCCUUAUCUCGAGUUCGAGCAAGUUCUCACUUGACCAUAUAGCGUAAAGGCUACUUUACUUUGAGUUCGAGAAAGUCCUCACUCGACUACAAAUCCCAAGGGCUACCUUAGCCCGAGUUCAAGCAAAUUCUCACUCAUGGUAUAUCUAUCGAGCCCAAGGGCCACCUUAUCUUAGGCUCGAGCAAGUCCACACUCGACCAUAAAUCUUAAGGGCUACUUUUACUACUUCGAGUUCAAACAAGUCCUCAGUCAAACAUAUAGCCUAAGUGCUACUUUCACUUUGAGUUCGACCAAAUCCUCACUCUACUGUUAAGCCUAAGAGUUACUCCAACUCAAGUUCGAACAUUCACUCAGGGAUUGCCAAUAAUAAAUGGGCAAGGGCAGUACUUACUAAUCGGUCCUUACUAUCUCAAAACCUUGGACCUUAGAAUACAACUUCAUAAUUUUAUGCUUAGGCACUUUGACCCUUAUAUAAAUUAACAAAAAGACAACAGAUUCAAAAGCCACAGAAAGUAAAAAAGUUUUAUAAAUUCAUCAAAACCUUUUUUACAAGGGAAACACAACCCGAUGAAAGUUCUUUACAAAAGGCCAAAGCGGCCUCGACAGAAACACAAAAACUAUUUAAAAGCCUAAGUGGCCUGGUCAUCCCCGGGAGUGGCAUCUCCCCCCUCGAGGUCUUAUGCACUUUCGGACUCACUCAUGCUUUUAGAUUUAUCAUCAUCAUCGGGAUAGGCUAAUUUCCUAGCUUCAGCUUUAAGCUUCUUGCAUUCUCGAUCUCGGUUGAAAGAUCAAAGCCUCGAGCAUGGAUUUCCUCAAGGGUCUCCCUUUGAGAUUGACAUUUGUCGUGCUCGGCGAUCCUAUCUUCUUGAAUAUGAGCAGCUCGGAAACCUCCUUGGCUCGAACCUGAGCAGAUUCAGCAUCGACCCCAUAGAUAGCCACCACUACAUCAACAUUGGCCUUGGACAUUUCAAUCUUCGAUUUGGCCUCUUCGAGCUCUCUGACCAGCUUCUCUCGAUCGAACAUUGUUGAAUCCAACUGAGACUGGAGCUGCUCCAUUUUCUUGGAUUAUACCAAGGAAUUCUCAUUCAUACUUCGGAGUUGGAUUUCAUCCAAGGCCAGUUGGGCCCGAGCAGUCUACUUUUCUUAGGCAAGACGAUCCAUAUUCUUCUUCCAUUCUUCGGCCUUUGUUUUCAUUGCGUCUACUUCUUCACGGAGUUGCCCGAUUAUAUCAAUCUUUUAUUGGACCUGCGGGUUCAGAUAGUUAGUCAAUGUGCCCUAUUUGCCUUCAGUAACUUCGAAGAUUAUGUUUUACCUGCUCGACCAGUUCGGCAUGCUCUUUUUGGGCCAUCUCUAAAUUAGCUCAAAGGCUCUUAAAUUCCACUUCUCUUUGCUCACUAAGAAGUUCGAACGCAUCAUUCUUCUCGGUGAGCCCCUCGGUCUAGGCCUCAUAUCGACUCGACUCUUCUCGGGAUCAGAGGAAUGCCUCAUGAUGAAGCAUUGAAGCCUGCAAAAUACAAAAAGGGAAAUUAUAUAAAAAAGCAUAAGUACAGAACUUGAAAUUGUCAAAGAUAUCUAUAGGUACCCGAUUCAAUGCAUAUUGAGCUUCAUUGAACAUGCAGGGCAUCUCCACUUCAUCCAUGUUAGCAUGGUCCUCUUAGGUUUCCAAACACCGAAGGUAGAUGGCCACCCGUAUGAGGGCAUAAGGGAUUCGAGCAUCCUCUAGGACCGAAACUACAAUUGAUCACUUUUUCCAAUGUUCAACACUUGGAGCCGAAAAUCGAUUGGUCAGUGUAAGGCGUGAGGAAGCCUCGCCCGAGAUUUUACUAGGUACUUCUAAAUAACCCAGGUUGGUAAUGUACUCCACUCUAACGAAGUAACAAUGGAAAGGGUCUUAUGCUUCAUGGACCCCUUCAUCGUGGCUAGUCUCCACGCCUGGGCUUCCUUGAUCAUUGACUCAGUAGGAAAUGAAGGUGAAUCCUCGAUAUUUAUCACCCCAAAUAUUCUUAUAGGGAAACUCCUUCAUCUCGAGGAGCCUCGAGCAUGGUUUUUACACCAGCAUCAACAGUAUCCUCGAUGGCCUUCUCAACUCGAGUUGGAGCAUCUUCAGAUCUUUCUGGCUCGGAGACUUCGGCCGAGGCUUCCCCCCUCAAACUCAUCAAGUCGAGGCAAAGAAGUUUCAGCUCCCACCGGCUCAGUAGUUCCUUGAAUCUCGGUUCCAGCUCGCACAAGGGCCACCACCCCGGAGUCCUUCUUCUUCUUUUUCUUCUUCGGCCUCAUCCCUUAGUCGUUGGACUGACUCCAAAGUUAGAGGGAUGAUGUUUCCCUUGGGUUUAUGGCCUAUUUUAUUUUUGGGUUUGUACCCCUCAGAGUUUGUGGAAGUCAAAGCUCUUUUCCUCUUCUUCUCUUUCACAGGCUUCGAGACAGCUGGUGGGGGAAGGAUUUCUUCAUCACCAGACAGGGGCCUCAUCGUCACUUCCAUCCCGAGACCUACAAAAACAAAAGAGGAAAUGAGUAAGAUUGGGAAAAUGUUCGAAUAGUGGUCAAAUCAUUAAGUCAUGAAGAAACAUUUACCAUGACUACUAGCCUCCCAUCGACCUUUCAACAAAUCACACCAUGCGCGCUCAGCAUGUGUCGACUUUGAUAUUAGGCUCCUUACCCAGUUCUCGAGUUGGGGAACCACACUUGGCUUCCAGGAAACAAGUGCAUCUAGUAAAACACUAAUAAGAAAUGGUGAGAAAUAAAGGCAAUAUACAGAAAUUAAUAACGGAACUAUACUUACGAUUCAUAUUCCAUUUCUUAGGAAAUGGCAUACUUUCGGCCGUAUCAGAUCAGAGGUCUUCACUCGAAUAAAGCGGCCCAUCCAGCCCCUGUAUUUUUCCUCAUCUAUGCCCGAGAAAGGUGCCCCAGUGGCCCAAAGUUGAAGUUUCAUUAGUCCUCCUCGACAGGCGUAUGAGGUGGUCGAGGGUGAAUGGAAGCCCAUCGACUUUUCUUACGAAGAAACGUAGUAGUAUCACUAUCCUCCAGAAAGAGAUGAAUCUGACAGAGGGUCAUCUCGUAUUUUUUUUGCAGAAAUCUAAGAUCAUUGGAUCCAAGGGACCCAAGAAGGGGUAAGUGCAAACACUUAAGAACUCUUCCACAUGGGUGAUGAUUUAUUCUUCUGGAGCAGGCACCACCACAUGUUUCUUACCCCAAUUGCAAUUUUUUAAAAUUGGGAGAGGAGUUUAUCGGUUAUCGAGCAUAUAUAUACCUCGAUACCGGCUCGCGUCGUCUCGGCACUGAGGAAGUCUUUUCAACCUUGAAAUCAGAAUCAAU
RNAcentral lists this long non-coding RNA (8400 nucleotides) under Nicotiana benthamiana. RNAcentral's name for it is "long non-coding RNA (NBEN_LNC036819)". Lineage: Eukaryota; Viridiplantae; Streptophyta; Magnoliopsida; Solanales; Solanaceae. The record is from RNAcentral.